This 325-nucleotide ribosomal RNA is filed under the name uncultured bacterium. RNAcentral's name for it is "bacterial SSU rRNA". It matches the Rfam family "Bacterial small subunit ribosomal RNA", at positions 335 to 655 of the family's 1533-position model. The record is from RNAcentral.
ACUCCUACGGGAGGCAGCAGUGAGGAAUAUUGGUCAAUGGACGCAAGUCUGAACCAGCCAUGCCGCGUGCAGGAUGACGGCCCUACGGGUUGUAAACUGCUUUUAUACUGGGAAUAAUGGUGUCCUACGUGUAGGAUUUUGAAGGUACCGUACUGAAUAAGGAUCGGCUAACUCCGUGCCAGCAGCCGCGGUAAUACGGAGGAUCCAAGCGUUAUCCGGAUUCAUUGGGUUUAAAGGUCCGUAGGCGGGUCUUUAAGUCAGAGGUGAAAGCCUGCAGCUCAACUGUGGAACUGCCUUUUGAUACGGAGAUCUUGAGUGUGCGUGA